CCAUCUCCCACCAUCUGUGAAAUCCAGAAUCGUGUUUAUAGCAAGCAGAGAGAGGCAAACACAAAAAGGAGAGAACACAAGAGCAGAGUGGGAGCGCUGCUGCAGGGGCUGAGCUGGCCACGCUCUGCUGGGGGCACAGGGAGGGGCUUUGGGCACUCCAGGCUCCAUCCAAACUGGGCUCAAGGUCCUGUUUUCAUUGCUUCUGGCAAAGGCACUGUUGAAGCCCCUGGAUAUCUUCUAUCUAGUGCAGACGUGAGGGAGGUGAUUGAAGUGUUUCCAGGUGUUCCUGGCUCCAGAGAAUGCUCAGGAGGGUUUUUGGUGGUUUGUGCUCUGCACUCAGGGUCUGUCAGCAGUCCCUGGUCUGUCCUGCAGCACCGCAGCCCUGGGACAGCUGGGACAGCCUGGCCACCCCACAGGGACAGCAGGAUCACUCCCAUCACCCGGGGGUUUGGUGCCUCUAGGAACGCCCUCUGCAGCCACUGCUUCAGCCUCUGGUUCAGCUGGAUUGCACUGGAGAAAAGGUCUGGUUCUCAAAUCCCAGUUGUGAGCUUGUUUGGGUUUGUUCCAGGCUGAAACAAUCAGGUGGAAUAACGUGGAUGAUCAUCAUACGGCAUGGAAACGUUGGGAAGGCACUGGGUGGUAGGUGGGUCCUAGACAGCAUUCCAGCAAAGACCUCACCCUUGGAUUUUCAUGGAGCUGAUGAUCCACCAAAAAGGAAUACAAAGGGAAACAAAACCAGGAAAGACAGAAAGGAUGGAGGAGCCCCACUUGUGCCUGGCUGCUGGGGACUUGGCAGUCUGACUCCUGCUCCAAGCCCUCCCUUCAGACUUCUGCCUGACCUCAGCUCAUUAGGAAACUCCAUUCCUUGCUCCCUUGGAUGUGACUGUCACAAUCCCUGUUUCUUCUGGGAAAAUGACAAUAUGUUGAUCGCAACCAGAGGUGCAAGCAAAGCCCAGUUCUGA
Molecule: long non-coding RNA, 962 nt
Filed under: Catharus ustulatus (Swainson's thrush)
Lineage: Eukaryota; Metazoa; Chordata; Aves; Passeriformes; Turdidae
Description: lncRNA (ENSCUSG00005011438.1)
Source: RNAcentral